Long non-coding RNA from Brienomyrus brachyistius, 445 nucleotides. RefSeq lists it as uncharacterized. The transcript is spliced from 3 exons. The record is from RefSeq and is a predicted model, not a curated record. Lineage: Eukaryota; Metazoa; Chordata; Actinopteri; Osteoglossiformes; Mormyridae.
GCCGCCCACAACAACAGCAUCGUACACUGGGAGCCACUUGUAGGGGUUCACAGUGACACAGAACAGCCCGGAGUAUGUCUGCAAUACAGCAAGGAGCAGCUGCUAUUUACCUCCUUGGACGACAACACAGAAGAGUAGAAUCUGGGCGGGAAUCUGAAAAACAUUAUUGGAUUGGAUUGGAUGCAGCAUCACAUUAAGAUUCACUCACCUGUGCUGGAUGCCUAACAGUUCAGAGAAGAUUCUGGAGCUGCUGCUUUUAUAGAGACAUGAGUGGUUGCUCAGCAGAAGGUUCCUGCUGUAUUUGGGCAUGUGUUUUCACACACUAACUGCUAUCCUUACUGCUGUACGAAGAGAAGAGAAAUUAUUUUUAGCUCAUAAACAUAAGGGUUUUAUUAUAAGGAAGUUGCCUGUUUUGAUUUUUGUAUUAAAAAAAUAGUGGAUUAAA